GUUUCAUAAUGUUUGAUACACCUAAACAUCAAUUUGACAGAUAUUUUUCAUUUCUCAUCUUAAAUAGUGAUUUUGUAUAAAAUAUAUAAAGAAUUCCUGCUUUGGCUUGCUUUGCCAAAGAUUUAAAUGAAUCCAUUCGACAAAUUAUGGAGUUUUAAAACAUGGUUAUGUGAGGUUAUGCAAACAAGAUUCAUCACAUCAUCUUUGCAUUAUCCGCCGUUAUUGAUUGAUUUAACUCUUGAAGGUGUGGUUGAUGUGUGUGCACACAUAUCGUGUAGAGAAGAGGAAAAAUAAGAAGAAGCUGAUAGAUGAUGUGGGGCGGUUUGCAUGCGGGUGGGUUUCUAAAAGUUGUGAUAGCUUGCCGAGAGCAGGAAGAACGGGUGCUCAUGAUUUAUUAUCCGCGAUCUUCGCGAGCGCUGCGGUAUCACAGAUUACGCCGGAGCAGCAAGGAAAAAGACGACGAGGACGAUGCGCGCGUAUGGAUGAUGUGUGAGGAUAUCAGCGGAUGACACUAAGCGCCUGUCAUAUCCAAACACCGAUAUCUACAAGAAAUAUAUAGAUACAACAACAAAAAACAAAAAAUAUAUUUUUAGUGAAAAUGCUUUUUGUUAUUGAAAUUAUUUGAUAUUCAAGUGGACGCAUAUAUCGAUGUUAUUUUUGAUGAAAAGAUGAAACACACCAAACAUGCGUGGCGCGGAUGGAUGUAAGAUGUAUUGGAAAUGUGGAUGUUGCGGAAAUGUGGCGCACUUUUUGAGCGAAAAUCCAUUUCCUUUGCGCUCGGCGGAGGAGGCGGCGGUCGGGGACGACUGCGAGAAAUGAAUAAAGCAUGACGAUGAAAAACGAGACGCAAGGCGGGUUUUCGGCUGUGCUGGGUUUGGGUUUUUCUUUGGUGUGCAACCAGCGCGCGAGUUUUACCAACUAUUUGAUAUAUUUUCGAUUUCCAAGCGUAUCCCAUGAGGAAAACCCGAGCGCAUCACCAAAAUAAGAAAAGAAAUAGAAGC
Dalotia coriaria is the source of this 1001-nucleotide long non-coding RNA. RefSeq lists it as uncharacterized. The transcript has 3 exons. NCBI's taxonomy places the organism in Eukaryota, Metazoa, Arthropoda, Insecta, Coleoptera, Staphylinidae. The record is from RefSeq and is a predicted model, not a curated record.